UACAGAGGGGGCAAGCGUUGUUCGGAAUUACUGGGCGUAAAGGGCGCGUAGGCGGCCUGUUAAGUCGAACGUGAAAUCCCCGGGCUCAACCCGGGAACUGCGUCCGAUACUGGCAGGCUUGAAUCCGGGAGAGGGAUGCGGAAUUCCAGGUGUAGCGGUGAAAUGCGUAGAUAUCUGGAGGAACACCGGUGGCGAAGGCGGCAUCCUGGACCGGUAUUGACGCUGAGGAGCGAAAGCGUGGGGAGCGAACAGG
This 253-nucleotide ribosomal RNA is filed under the name uncultured bacterium. RNAcentral describes it as "partial 16S ribosomal RNA". It matches the Rfam family "Bacterial small subunit ribosomal RNA", at positions 524 to 776 of the family's 1533-position model. The record is from RNAcentral.